UGAACGCUGGCGGCAGGCCUAACACAUGCAAGUCGAACGGUAACAGGAAGCAGCUUGCUGUUUCGCUGACGAGUGGCGGACGGGUGAGUAAUGUCUGGGAAACUGCCUGAUGGAGGGGGAUAACUACUGGAAACGGUAGCUAAUACCGCAUAACGUCGCAAGACCAAAGAGGGGGACCUUCGGGCCUCUUGCCAUCGGAUGUGCCCAGAUGGGAUUAGCUAGUAGGUGGGGUAACGGCUCACCUAGGCGACGAUCCCUAGCUGGUCUGAGAGGAUGACCAGCCACACUGGAACUGAGACACGGUCCAGACUCCUACGGGAGGCAGCAGUGGGGAAUAUUGCACAAUGGGCGCAAGCCUGAUGCAGCCAUGCCGCGUGUAUGAAGAAGGCCUUCGGGUUGUAAAGUAC
Molecule: ribosomal RNA, 407 nt
Filed under: Shigella flexneri
Lineage: Bacteria; Pseudomonadati; Pseudomonadota; Gammaproteobacteria; Enterobacterales; Enterobacteriaceae
Description: bacterial SSU rRNA
Rfam family: Bacterial small subunit ribosomal RNA
Source: RNAcentral